Molecule: ribosomal RNA, 301 nt
Filed under: uncultured bacterium
Lineage: Bacteria
Description: partial 16S ribosomal RNA
Rfam family: Bacterial small subunit ribosomal RNA
Source: RNAcentral
CAGUCGCCGCGGGAAAACGUAGGGUGCAAGCGUUAAUCGGAAUUAUUGGGCGUAAAGCGAGUGCAGACGGUUACUUAAGCCAGAUGUGAAAUCCCCAAGCUUAACUUGGGACGUGCAUUUGAAACUGGGUGACUAGAGUGUGUCAGAGGGAGGUAGAAUUCCACAUGUAGCGGUGGAAUGCGUAGAGAUGUGGAGGAAUACCGAUGGCGAAGGCAGCCUCCUGGGAUAACACUGACGUUGAGGCUCGAAAGCGUGGGGAGCAAACAGGAUUAGAUACCCCCGUAGUCCCUGUCUCUUAUAC